This 253-nucleotide ribosomal RNA is filed under the name uncultured bacterium. RNAcentral's name for it is "partial 16S ribosomal RNA". It matches the Rfam family "Bacterial small subunit ribosomal RNA", at positions 524 to 776 of the family's 1533-position model. The record is from RNAcentral.
UACAGAGGGGGCGAGCGUUGUUCGGAAUUACUGGGCGUAAAGGGCGCGUAGGCGGCCCGCUAAGUCGAACGUGAAAUCCCCAGGCUCAACCUGGGAACUGCGUCCGAUACUGGCAGGCUUGAAUCCGGGAGAGGGAUGUGGAAUUCCAGGUGUAGCGGUGAAAUGCGUAGAUAUCAGGAAGAACACCCGUGGCGAAGGCGGCUCUCUGGGACGGUACUGACGCUGAGACGCGAAAGCGUGGGGAGCGAACAGG